This 3654-nucleotide long non-coding RNA is filed under the name Homo sapiens (human). RNAcentral describes it as "HSALNT0278106". The record is from RNAcentral. Lineage: Eukaryota; Metazoa; Chordata; Mammalia; Primates; Hominidae.
UUUUUAUUAAUAAAAGACAACCGGAGCCUUUCAGAAGGUUAGGCUUAAGGGUCCAUUAUUUAAGUGCCAUUGCCUGUGAUGAGUCUUUGAGUAAUAGGAGUGCUAAGUGCAUACUGGGCAGGACGACCCGGGUGAGUCGAACAUGCAGAAAAGAUUCAACACACAGCCCUUUCUGACCUCACAGUGACUUUGCACUAAGUGCAAAUCAAUCUUCCCGAGGCAAUUUCCUGUUGCCAGGACAGAGCUGUCUCCCCUCUUCUCGCCCUCCUGCUGCUGUGCUCCUGCUUCAUGCUGGCUCCGACAAAGGGAUGGUACAGUCAAGAUGACCUAGCUGUAACCUGGCUACUAGAGGACCAAGGAGAAAAAUAAACUUCUACCACGCUUUCGAAAACAAGCACUCAAACUCAGGAGAUACUUGAUUGAAGUUGAAAGAGUGGUGCAUUCCCCAAGGCAGUACCCUCAUGAAUGGGAUUAGUGUCCUUUAAUAAAAGAGACCCAAGAGAGGUCCCUUGCUCCUUCCAGCAUGUGAGAUUACAGCAAAAAGAUGCUGUCUAUGAACCAGAAAGUGGGCCCUCACCAGACACUGAAUCUGUCGGCACCUUGAUCUUGGAUUUCCCAGCUUCCAGAAGUGGGAGAAAUAAAUUUCUCUUGUAAAUAAGAUAAACAGUUUAUGAUAUUUUAUUAUAGCAGCCCCAAGGGACUAAGACAGAAAUCCAGUUGUACACCAGAUGGUUGUAACACGUUCAGUGGAAUGAAAACCUUGUGUCUUGGCAGGGUGCAGUGGCUCAUGCCUGUAAUCCCAACGCUUUGGGAGGCUGAGGUGGGAGGGUCACUUGAGGCCAGGUGUUCAAGACCAGCCUGGGCAACAUAAGGAGAUGUCCAGAUAGCCGGCAAAACAGUGUUCCUGGGUAGGCCUGUGAUGGUGUUUCCAGAAGAAAUUAGUGCUGUGAGUCGGUAGAGUGAGUAAAAAAGAGUCUCUUAAAAAAAAUGUUGGCCGGGCACGGGGCUCACGCCUGUAAUCCUAGCACUUUACAAGGCUAAGGCAAGUGGAUCACUUGAGGUCAGGAGUUCGAGACCAGCCUGGCCAACAUGGUGAAACCCCAUCUCUACUAAAAAAUACAAAAAUUAGCUAGGAAUGGUGGUGUGUGCCUGUAGUCCCAGCUGCUCAGGAGGCUGAGGCAUGAGAAUCACUUGAACUCAGGAGGUGGAGGUUGCAGUGAGCCGAGAUCGUGCCACUGCACUCCAGCCUGGGUGUGGUGGUAUGCACCUGUAGUCCCAGCUACUCAGGAGGCUGAGGCAGGAAGAUCGCCUGAGCCCAGGAGAUUGAGGCUGCAGCACUCCAGCCUGGGCAACAGAGCAAGAUCUGGUUUCCAAAAAACCCAAAAAAACCUUGUGUCUUCAUGUGGAGAUUAAGUAUGGUUUAAGGAGAUGUGUAUGGAUGACAAGUUCAAAAAGGAUGGUCGUGUGAUGGUUAAUUUUAUGUGUCAGUUUGACUGAGCUAAGGGAUGUCCAGAUAGCUGGCAAAACAGUGUUCCUGGGUAGUCCUGUGAUGAUGUUUCCAGAACAAAUUAGCAUUGUGAGUUGGUAGAUUGAGUGAAAAAGAUCCUCCCAGGUGGAUCGCGAGGUCAGGAGAUCGAGACCAUCCUGGCUAACACGGUGAAACCCCAUCUCUACUAAAAAUACAAAAAAUUAGCUGGGCAUGGUGGCGGGUGCCUGUAGUCCCAGCUACUCAGGGGGCUGAGGCAGAAGAACGGCGUGAACCCGGGAGGCAGAGCUUGCAGUGAGCGGAGAUUGCACCACUGCACUCCAGCCUGGGCGAGAGAGUGAGACUCUGUCUCAGAAAAAAAAAAAAAAAUUAGAAAAAGAUCCUCCCUGUCAGUGGGUAUCAUCCACUGUUGAGUGGACAAAAGGUGGAAGAGGGGCGAAUCUGCUCUUUCUGGGCUGACAUCCAUUUUCUCUUGCCCUUGGAGGUCAGUGCUCCUAGCUCUUGCUUUUGGGCUUAGACUGGGACUUACAUCAUUGUGCCUCUGGUCCUCAGUCUUCAGAUUCAGACUGAAUUAUACCACCAGCUUUCCUGGUUUUUCAGCUUGCAGAUGGCAGAUCCUGGGACUUCUUGGCCUCCAUAACUGCAUGAGCCAAUUCCCAUAAUAAAUCUACACUUGAUCUUAGCCACAAGGCCGAGAAACGAUCAAUUCCUAUAAUAAAUCUCUCUUAUAAUAUCCUGUUGGUUCUGUUUCUCUGGAGAACCCUGACUAAUAUACCUUUUUUUUUUUUUUUUUUUUUUUUUUGAGACAGUCUUGCUCUGUUGCCCGGGCUAGAGCACAGUGGUGCCAUCACAGCUCACUGCAACCUCCAUCUCCCAGGUUCAAAUGAUUCUCCUGCCUCAGCGUCCCGAGUAGCUGGGAUUACAGGCACCUGCCACUAUGCCUGGCUAAUUUUUGUAUUUUUAGUACAAAUGGGGUUUCAUCAUGUUGGCCAGGCUGAUCUCGAACCCCUGACCUCAAGUGACCUGCCCGCCUCAGCCUCCCAAAAUGCUGCAAUUACAGGCAUGAGCCACCGCGCCCGGCCCUAAUACACCUUUUAACCUAAAAUUUCAGGACUUUCUUUACUUAGAAAAUUAUAUACACAUAUAUAGCUGUGAUUGUGCCACUGCAAUCCAGCCUGGGCGACAGAGUGAGCCCUUGUCUCAAAAGAAAAAAAAAGUUUGGUAUAUAAUCUUCCAAUCCCUUUCUAUGAAUUUAAAUGUUUAUUUUCUACCUAGUAAUCUUAUUUUUUUUAAUUCUUUAUUUCCUAGAUAAUGUUCAUUGAACCUUUUUGUAUUGAGAAAUUUUAAGGCACAUUUAAAAAAUAUAUUCUAACCAGGCACCGUGGCUAUCUUAGCACUUUAGGAGGCUGAGGCGGGUGAUCAGUUGAGGUCAGGAGUUCAAGACCGGCCUGAUGGUGAAAACCCUGUCUCUACAAAAAAUACAAAAAUUAGCCGGGCACAGUGGUGUGACCCUGUAAUCCCAGAUACUGGGGAGGCUGAGGCAUGAAAAUUGCUUGAACAUGGGAGACAGAGGUUGCAGUGAGCCAAGAUUGCACCACUGCACUCCAGCCUGGGCGACAGAGUGAGGCUCUGUCUCCAAAAAUAAUAAGAAGAAAGAGAGAGAGAGAGAAACAAACAAACAAACAGAGGCAAAAUUAAUAUAAGUAGCAUUUUUUGUUGUGGUUGUUGUUUUCUUCCUGAGACAGAGUUUUGCUCUUACGCCCAGGCUGAAGUGCAAUGGCCAUGAUCUCCGCUCACCACAACCUCCGCCCCCAGGGUUCAAGCGAUUCUCCUGCCUGAGCUGGAGAUUACAGGCACCCACCACCACCACGCCCAGCUAAUGUUGUAGUUUUAGUAGAGACAGGGUUUGGCUAUGUUGGACAGGCUGGUCUCGAACUCCUGACCUCAGGCGAUCCACCCACCUCGGCCUCCCAAAGUGCUAGGAUUAUAGGCCUGAGCCACUGCACCCAGCCCCGUUUUUUUUGUUUGUUUGUUUGUUUUUUUUUUUUUUUUAUUUUUAUUUUUUAUUUUUUAUUUUUUAUUUUUAUUGAUCAUUCUUGGGUGUUUCUCGCAGAGGGGGAUUUGGCAGGGUCAUAGGACAAUAGUGGAGGGAAGGUCAGCAGAUAAAC